CCUACGGGUGGCAGCAGUGGGGAAUAUUGGACAAUGGGCGAAAGCCUGAUCCAGCCAUGCCGCGUGUGUGAAGAAGGCCUUCGGGUUGUAAAGCACUUUCAGUGGGGAAGAAAGCCUUGGGGCUAAUACCCUCGAGGAAGGACAUCACCCACAGAAGAAGCACCGGCUAACUCCGUGCCAGCAGCCGCGGUAAUACGGAGGGUGCGAGCGUUAAUCGGAAUUACUGGGCGUAAAGCGCGCGUAGGCGGUCUGAUAAGCCGGUUGUGAAAGCCCCGGGCUCAACCUGGGAACGGCAUCCGGAACUGUCAGGCUAGAGUGCAGGAGAGGAAGGUAGAAUUCCCGGUGUAGCGGUGAAAUGCGUAGAGAUCGGGAGGAAUACCAGUGGCGAAGGCGGCCUUCUGGACUGACACUGACGCUGAGGUGCGAAAGCGUGGGUAGCACACAGGAUUAGAUACCCCGGUAGUC
This 465-nucleotide ribosomal RNA is filed under the name Vreelandella stevensii. RNAcentral describes it as "partial 16S ribosomal RNA". It matches the Rfam family "Bacterial small subunit ribosomal RNA", at positions 338 to 795 of the family's 1533-position model. The record is from RNAcentral. Lineage: Bacteria; Pseudomonadati; Pseudomonadota; Gammaproteobacteria; Oceanospirillales; Halomonadaceae.